GAUCCUGGCUCAGGAUGAACGCUGGCGGCGUGCUUAACACAUGCAAGUCGAACGGGAAAUACUUUAUUGAAACUUCGGCGGAUUUAAUUUAUUUCUAGUGGCGGACGGGUGAGUAACGCGUGGGUAACCUGCCUUAUACUGGGGGAUAACAGCCAGAAAUGGCUGCUAAUACCGCAUAAGCGCACAGAACCGCAUGGUUCGGUGUGAAAAACUCCUGUGGUAUAAGAUGGACCCGCGUUGGAUUAGCUAGUUGG
Molecule: ribosomal RNA, 254 nt
Filed under: uncultured bacterium
Lineage: Bacteria
Description: partial 16S ribosomal RNA
Rfam family: Bacterial small subunit ribosomal RNA
Source: RNAcentral